AAGGGGAAAAGCGAAGGCCGCCCGCCUAUCGGCGAAACGCGCUGGAGGGCCUGCGAGCGGGCUUAGCCCGCCGCAGCAGGACCGAAGCGUCGCGAGCCGAUGGCGGCCGGAGCUAGACAAUUCGAAAAGCGGAGGCCGAAAUGGCCAACUGUCGAUACACAGCGCUUCCGUUUCGUUCGGUUUUGAGGGAAUGAGAAAUUCCUUCAAAAGCGCCUGUGCCUGCGUCUGCUAGCAGGUUCGGGGGAGCAAGAUUCCUCGGCACAAAGCUGCAAGGAGGAUUGCUCAAAGAAGCCGCUUUGCGUCUUCUAGCAGAUUCAAGGAAGAUGGAUUCCUCGGCGCAAAGCUGCAAGGAAGCAGACUCAAGGCAGUCGCUUCGUUCAGUUUUGAAGGAAUGAGAAAUUCCUUCAAAAGCGCCUGUGCCUGCGUCUGCUAGCAGGUUCGGGGAAGUAGCUUCGUUUGCGUCUGCGUCUACAAGCGGAUUCGGAGAAGCCGAAUUCCUCGACGCAAGACUGCAGAGAAGCAAAUUCAAGAAGCAGUCUCGUUCCUUGAAAACUAGAUAACCGGAAACGCAAAGGAAGAAGCCGAGAGCGCUGUA
RNAcentral lists this unclassified non-coding RNA (595 nucleotides) under Geobacillus stearothermophilus. Its description in RNAcentral is "16S-23S ribosomal RNA intergenic spacer". Lineage: Bacteria; Bacillati; Bacillota; Bacilli; Caryophanales; Anoxybacillaceae. The record is from RNAcentral.